This 254-nucleotide ribosomal RNA is filed under the name uncultured bacterium. RNAcentral describes it as "partial 16S ribosomal RNA". It matches the Rfam family "Bacterial small subunit ribosomal RNA", at positions 524 to 776 of the family's 1533-position model. The record is from RNAcentral.
CACGUAGGGGGCGAGCGUUGUCCGGAUUUAUUGGGCGUAAAGGGCUCGUAGGCGGCUCAGUAAGUCGGGUGUGAAACCUCCAGGCUCAACCUGGAGACGCCACUCGAUACUGCUGUGGCUAGAGUCCGGUAGGGGAGCAUGGAAUUCCUGGUGUAGCGGUGAAAUGCGCAGAUAUCAGGAGGAACACCAGUGGCGAAGGCGCCGCUCUGGGCCGUGACUGACGCUGAGGAGCGAAAGCGUGGGUAGCAAACAGG